Molecule: ribosomal RNA, 112 nt
Filed under: Mesocricetus auratus (golden hamster)
Lineage: Eukaryota; Metazoa; Chordata; Mammalia; Rodentia; Cricetidae
Source: RNAcentral
GUCUGUAGCUAUACCACUCCAGGAGUUCCUGCUCAUAUCUGAGCUCAGAAGCUAAGCAGGGUCAGCCUGGUUAGUACUUAGACGGGAGACGGUUAACCCGAACUUACUGUUU